UGAGGAUACCGGACGGUUGCGCACGUCAGUGUGAGGAAAGUCCGAGCUCCACAGGGCAGGAUGCCGGGUAACACCCGGCGGAGGCGACUCCAGGGAAAGUGCAACAGAGAUAUACCGCAUGCCUGGCAUGUAAGGGUGGAAAGGCGAGGUAAGAGCUCACCCCGGCGUCAGGUAACUGAUGCCGGCUGUAAACCCCAUCCGGAGCAAGAAACGAAAGAACGAUUGAGGCGGCCCGCCAAGUUCUCAGGAUUUCGCUAGAGCCCGCUGGCAACAGCGGGACCAGAUAGAUAACCGUCGAUUACAGAACUCGGCUUACAGGUUUCACUCACUAU
Molecule: RNase P RNA, 332 nt
Filed under: Clostridia bacterium
Lineage: Bacteria; Bacillati; Bacillota; Clostridia
Description: RNase P RNA component class A
Rfam family: Bacterial RNase P class A
About the family: Ribonuclease P (RNase P) is a ubiquitous endoribonuclease, found in archaea, bacteria and eukarya as well as chloroplasts and mitochondria. Its best characterised activity is the generation of mature 5'-ends of tRNAs by cleaving the 5'-leader elements of precursor-tRNAs.
Source: RNAcentral